RNAcentral lists this unclassified non-coding RNA (400 nucleotides) under soil metagenome. RNAcentral's name for it is "partial contains 5.8S ribosomal RNA, internal transcribed spacer 2, and large subunit ribosomal RNA". The stretch from base 1 to 121 matches the Rfam family "5.8S ribosomal RNA", at positions 35 to 154 of the family's 154-position model. The record is from RNAcentral.
GAUGAAGAACGCAGCGAAAUGCGAUAAGUAAUGUGAAUUGCAGAAUUCAGUGAAUCAUCGAAUCUUUGAACGCACCUUGCGCCCUUUGGCUAUUCCGAAGGGCAUGCCUGUUUGAGUAUCGUGAACACCUCAACUCUCAUGGUCUGCCAUGAUGAGCUUGGACUUUGGGGGUCUUGCCGGCCUAGCGUCGGCACCUCUCAAAUGGAUCAGCUUGCCAGUGUUUGGUGGCAUCACAGGUGUGAUAACUAUCUACGCUUGUGGUUUUCUACCAUGUAACCUUCAGCGAUGGAGGUUCGCUGGGGCUCACAGACGUCUCUCCUUGGAGGACAGCUUUUUGAACGUUUGAUCUCAAAUCAGGUAGGACUACCCGCUGAACUUAAGCAUAUCAAUAAGCGGAGGA